This 580-nucleotide ribosomal RNA is filed under the name Quasipaa exilispinosa (Hong Kong spiny frog). RNAcentral describes it as "partial 16S ribosomal RNA". It matches the Rfam family "Bacterial large subunit ribosomal RNA", at positions 1832 to 2626 of the family's 2925-position model. Lineage: Eukaryota; Metazoa; Chordata; Amphibia; Anura; Dicroglossidae. The record is from RNAcentral.
CCGGAGAAAAAUGGAAGAGUGUCUAGCCUGCCCAGUGACAUAGUUAAACGGCCGCGGUAUCCUGACCGUGCGAAGGUAGCAUAAUCACUUGUUCUUUAAAUAAGGACUAGUAUCAACGGCAUCACGAGGGUUAUACUGUCUCCUCCCUCCAAUCAGUGAAACUAAUUUUCCCGUGAAGAAGCGGGAAUAAGAAUAUAAGACGAGAAGACCCCAUGGAGCUUUAAACCCAACAGCAACCUCUAUAUACAAAUCCCCUAAUAUCUAAAGAAGUCCUACCUGUUGGUUUUAGGUUGGGGUGACCGCGGAGUAAAACUAAGCCUCCACGACGAACGGGAUUAACCCCUAAUCCAAGAGCCACCGCUCUAAGAAUCAAUAAAUUGACGUAAAAUGAUCCGAUAAUCGAUCAACGAACUAAGUUACCCUGGGGAUAACAGCGCAAUCCAUUUCAAGAGCCCCUAUCGACAAAUGGGUUUACGACCUCGAUGUUGGAUCAGGGUAUCCCAGUGGUGCAGCCGCUACUAAAGGUUUGUUUGUUCAACAAUUAAAACCCUACGUGAUCUGAGUCAAAACCCCGGAGAUG